AACGUAGGUCACAAGCGUUGUCCGGAAUUACUGGGUGUAAAGGGAGCGCAGGCGGGAAGACAAGUUGGAAGUGAAAUCCAUGGGCUCAACCCAUGAAAUGCUUUCAAAACUGUUUUUCUUGAGUAGUGCAGAGGUAGGCGGAAUUCCCGGUGUAGCGGUGGAAUGCGUAGAUAUCGGGAGGAACACCAGUGGCGAAGGCGGCCUACUGGGCACCAACUGACGCUGAGGCUCGAAAGUGUGGGUAGCAAACAGG
Molecule: ribosomal RNA, 253 nt
Filed under: Faecalibacterium prausnitzii
Lineage: Bacteria; Bacillati; Bacillota; Clostridia; Eubacteriales; Oscillospiraceae
Description: partial 16S ribosomal RNA
Rfam family: Bacterial small subunit ribosomal RNA
Source: RNAcentral